CCUACGGGCGGCAGCAGUGAGGAAUAUUGGUCAAUGGACGAGAGUCUGAACCAGCCAAGUAGCGUGAAGGAUGACUGCCCUAUGGGCUUUAAACUUCUUUUAUAAAGGAAUAAAACGAGGCACGUGUGCCUUUUUGCAUUUACUUUAUGAAUAAGGAUCGGCUAACCUCGUGCCAGCAGCCGCGGUAAUACGGAGGAUCCGAGCGUUAUCCGGAUUUGUUGGGUUUAAAGGGAGCGUAGAUGGGUUGUUAAGUCAGUUGUGAAAGUUUGCGGCUCAACCGUAAAAUUGCAAUUGAUACUGGCAGUCUUGAGUACAGUAGAGGUAGGCGGAAUUCGUGGUGUAGCGGUGAAAUGCUUAGAUAUCACGAAGAACCCCGAUUGCGAAGGCAGCUUACUAACCUGUGACUGACAUUGAUGCUCGAAAGUGUGGGUAUCAAACAGGAUUAGAUACCCCUGUAGUC
RNAcentral lists this ribosomal RNA (460 nucleotides) under uncultured bacterium. RNAcentral describes it as "partial 16S ribosomal RNA". It matches the Rfam family "Bacterial small subunit ribosomal RNA", at positions 338 to 795 of the family's 1533-position model. The record is from RNAcentral.